CCUACGGGUGGCAGCAGUGAGGAAUAUUGGUCAAUGGGCGGAAGCCUGAACCAGCCAAGUCGCGUGAGGGAAUAAGGCCCUACGGGUCGUAAACCUCUUUUGCCGGGGAGCAAGGGCCGGGACGAGUCCCGGUCCGGAGAGUACCCGGAGAAAAAGCAUCGGCUAACUCCGUGCCAGUAGCCGCGGUAAUACGGAGGAUGCGAGCGGUAUCCGGAUUUAUUGGGUUUAAAGGGUGCGUAGGCGGGCUUUUAAGUCAGCGGUAAAAAUUCGGGGCUCAACCCCGUACGGCCGUUGAAACUGGGGGCCUUGAGUGGGCGAGAAGAAGGCGGAAUGCGUGGUGUAGCGGUGAAAUGCAUAGAUAGCACGCAGAACCCCGAUUGCGAAGGCAGCCUUCCGGCGCCCUACUGACGCUGAGGCACGAAAGUGCGGGGAUCGAACAGGAUUAGAUACCCGAGUAGUC
This 460-nucleotide ribosomal RNA is filed under the name uncultured bacterium. Its description in RNAcentral is "partial 16S ribosomal RNA". It matches the Rfam family "Bacterial small subunit ribosomal RNA", at positions 338 to 795 of the family's 1533-position model. The record is from RNAcentral.